This 68-nucleotide transfer RNA is filed under the name Pedetes capensis (springhare). RNAcentral's name for it is "tRNA-Trp". The record is from RNAcentral. Lineage: Eukaryota; Metazoa; Chordata; Mammalia; Rodentia; Pedetidae.
AGAGACUUAGGUUAUUCCAGACCAAGAGCCUUCAAAGCUCUAAGAAAGCCAAUCAGACUUAGUCUCUG